Molecule: ribosomal RNA, 157 nt
Filed under: uncultured Gammaproteobacteria bacterium
Lineage: Bacteria; Pseudomonadati; Pseudomonadota; Gammaproteobacteria
Description: partial 16S ribosomal RNA
Rfam family: Bacterial small subunit ribosomal RNA
Source: RNAcentral
CCUACGGGAGGCAGCAGUGGGGAAUAUUGCACAAUGGGCGCAAGCCUGAUGCAGCCAUGCCGCGUGUAUGAAGAAGGCCUUCGGGUUGUAAAGUACUUUCAGCGAGGAGGAAGGUGUGUGGUUAAUAACCGCAGCAAUUGACGUUACUCGCAAAAGA